Molecule: small nuclear RNA, 121 nt
Organism: Hermetia illucens (black soldier fly)
Lineage: Eukaryota; Metazoa; Arthropoda; Insecta; Diptera; Stratiomyidae
Product: U5 spliceosomal RNA
Exons: 1
Source: RefSeq, a predicted model, not a curated record
ACACUCUGGCUUCUCUUCAGUGUCGAAUAAAUAUUCCGCAUUUUACUAAAGACCUCCGUGGAGAGGAGCACUCAAUUGAAUCUAAACUAAUUCAGUCAAUUAUUAUGAUAUUGUCAUAACU